Xyrichtys novacula (pearly razorfish) is the source of this 5948-nucleotide non-coding RNA. The record is from the annotation of a GenBank genome assembly. Lineage: Eukaryota; Metazoa; Chordata; Actinopteri; Labriformes; Labridae.
CCUGGUAGCAGCUAGGACUGCUAGCUGUGUGUGCAGGUAAGGGAGAGCUGGAUAGAAACACCAGUUAGUCAUGAGUCUAAUGACUUCUUUUGUAUUCAGAGCUGGAAAGCUGUUUGCUGACUUGCGCUGACUGUUGUCCGACUUGUAGGCUGCUGAAAAGGUUAGCUACAAAUAAGGAUUUUCAUCAUGAGAUUGUCUCCCCCCAUGUUAGCCAGAGUAGCUAGCCUGUUGACUUUCCCUAACCUGGGCCCAGAUUGAGUGAGGUGACAAACUGGCAUGGUAAUGUAGGGUUAGUGUUAUUACCCUCUGAGGUAUUUUUGGCUUUGUCCAUGAUUUUCACUUAUGUUUCCUUGAUUUCAGAUUUAAUUAUCAGACUGCUGUUUGUCUUCUCCUUUCCUGUUUUGCAGCACUACCCUACCUCCUGCUAGGCUUUGUUUGGCCUUGCUUGGCUUUGGUUUAAGUCAGUCCUUCUUCAGGACUGUUCGAAUUAUAUUUGUCCACAAAACUACAGAAACUUUAAUAUUUGUGUCUAAAAUUGUUUUUGUACAAACCAAGACAAUUUACCUGUUACCCUUUUUGAUGUGAACUGAAUCAACUGAUACUCAGCAUUUUAUCUUGUUCCCUUACAGAGGUACGAGCUGUGGGGCGUGAAUGUGGGGUCCACCUGUUUGCAUGCUGUAGUAGGUCAUUUAAAUGUUUUGUAGACUUGCAUCCCUUUGCAGUGACUAUUGCAGUGAAGAUUUGUGUUAGCAGCUUUUAAAUAAACAAAUCUUACCUGUGAAACAAAUGCACGUCUCCUGCUUUUCCUUGAAUCUGUAAAUUGGCUUUGUGUCAACACAUUUAAAGGAAGGGUCUUUCUCUGGCCUAAGGGUUUUUCUCCAACCCUGUGUCUUUAAUAAUGUCCUGUGGGGAGUUUUCUGAUGUUCAUGAAGUUAAACUGAAAUUCAUAUUGAUGACUUUUUGUGAUAUUCAUAAGAAAACAAGAUCAACAGUUUUUAUAUCAUGUAUCUUAAGUCCUGAAACAGGUUCAAGGGGGCAGUUUUGCAAACAGUCCCGUUUUCACAUUUUUCAAAUUAUGAAAACAGGGCUAUUAAGGGGUGUCGAAUAAAGUAGUGUCAAUAAAUGAGAAAAUUGACUGUACAUGAGUGGUUUAAAAGAGGCACUACUUUGGCAUAUAGAGGACAUGAUAAGCAGAGUUUUAUCCACAGGGGGCGCCAAAGUUGUGACAAAGUUCCUCACAGGAGCUUUAAGGACUAAAAGAAGAGAAAACUAAUACUGUCCGAGAGACGAUGAGAACUAAUUACCACCUGAAAGCUUGUGACUUAUUUCAUUUUUCUGGGAAAUGAUGGUUUUCAUGGUGUUCAGGGCAAACAUGGAACAGAUGAAAAACAUUUGUUUGUUUGUCUUAAUGAUUUUAAAUCACUGUCUUUGAUUUUAAAUUUUCAUGUCUUUAUUUUAAAUUGUUAUAUUCUCUCCUUUUUUAAAUUUUGAUGUAUUUCUUUGCAUCUGUAAAGGACUUUGAAUUGCCUCAUGUAUGAAUGGUGCUAUACAGAUAAACUUGCCUUGCCCUAAAAAAAGAUGUUUGUCCAAAGUCACCAAAUUAAGUACCAAUAAAUUCUAAAAAAAUCGCUGACUCUGAGUUGGCCAAUCAGAUUGAGGGGGCAUAGCCCACCUGACCAUCCUCUGCCACUGCUCAGUUUGUACCCGCAUUGGCAGCACUAAUUUACUAUGCUAGCUAGCAAACAAUACAGUGAAUUAUGCUGCGUUCGAGUUACCUCAGAAGUCAAAAAAGCAAAAGCUGAGGCGGAAACAAGAUGGCUACAUCUACGAAAGUUAUUUCAGCGCUUGCCUUGUCUGAAUAUAAGCAACUUCUGGACAAUUAUGCAGUCCUUCUGCAACAUCUUGUUUCCGCCUCCGAUCUUGCUAUUUUCCGACUUGGUAACCCAAACGCUGCUAACUUGGGUGUGAUGUCAUUCCCAGCUUGGACAUCUGACUUCUGAGGUAACUCGAACACAGCAUUACUCUCAGACUUUCAGCCUGCUACCACGACGACUGCAUUAAACCUAAAGUUGCCAGUUCUUAGAGUCACUCCUCAAACAUGAGGUUUUACCUUUUAUAAGCCCUGUAUCUGUGAGUGGGGUGGGGGAUCUUCCUUGUAGACCAGCUACAUCCUUUAAACCAAUGGUAUCUUUGUGUUAGUGCAUAUAUCCAAAAAAACACAUGCAGCCACCCAACGUCAUUUUGACGUCUUUUUUCAGGCUAGAUCACAUCGGCCUGUCAUGGCUGUCAUUUAGCCCAAAAAAACAUGUUGAAAACUGGGCUUUAUUUAGAUGGUCCAAAUCUAGACGUUGUUUAGAUGUAUGAUGAAAAUGUCUUUUCAACCACUUUUUGCUGGGUGGGAGGCUAGUUUUGAGCAAUGACGGUCAUGUUUCUGUUCCCCAGGGUUACUGUCAUGUUCCAGAAAGUUCUGUUAUGUUUCCUGGGUUUUCGUCCCUGUCAGAUAGAUUAGAGAGAAAACAGCAGCGGGUAAAGAGGGUUAACAGUGGGCGCUAAUGUCAGCACCUGCCUGUUGUUGAAUAAACACUCAGCCACUCAUGAAUAAAUCAUUGAGGGGAUCUGCAGAGAUAAAACAGCUGAAACAGGCUGUGACCUCUGUGUUAUUUCAGUUUAAAAGCCACCAAUCAGUGUGAACAAGCAGUUUUAGGAGGCCGGGUUCAGAGGAGAUUAACCUCCAGUCACCCUGAUGUGUCGACUGAGAUAAUGUCAUCUGGGCUGAUGCCACUCACCAGCCUGUAUUUUUUUUUCUUUCUCCAGGCUGUUGUUUCAUUAUUGCAUAAUUUUCUGACUUUUUUUUCUCACCUAAUGGUUUAUUUCUGAGCACCACCCACUCCUCCUGGUCUUUCACUCUCUCUCAGCUGUUCAAACAGAGCGUUUCUAUUUAUAUGCAUUAGCCUGAGAACAUAUUUACUCAGGUCCAAUGAAGCAGUCCGGUAUGAAGAGCAGCAGUUUAGCUUGUCAAAUUAGCCUGCGCCUGUACUGUGCUGCCUGCUAAUGACAGAUAAUGAGCUGCUGGCAGGUUCAUCUGCAUGGUUUUCUGUCAAGAUCCGAGUCCCUGAUCUCAAUCGCUGUGACUCUGGGGUCACACCAGUCCUGCAGAGCUGAUGAAUCUGUAUCAGUGGGCUGUCAGUUAUUAUCACAUCUACUGAAAAUGACCCCAUAGUGAACAUCCAUAUGAUCCUUUAUGACCACAUCCUUAAGUUUGAGGUCCUGGGAACACUAGACCUUCAGUUCUGAAGCAGAGCAGAUGAUGUGUUAUCCUGAGAACAUGACAAAACAAAGAAAGAAGGAAAGAGGAGGUCUUGUAGUUCCUCUCUUAAAGGUAUAAAAAAAACCCAGACUGGUUAGAGGGAGAUAAACAGAGCUGUGUCACUGCUGUCUGUCACCUGUCAGGACCCUGAGUGAGACGAGGACUCUCCUGUCUGACACCUGGGAUCAGGUGGAGGGAAGGGACAUCACGGGAAAUAAAGAAACAGAGUGAUGGAGGAAGAGAAAGUGACAGACGGGGCGAUAGAUGUUUCUCUGCAUCUCUUUACCUCCACGUUCAGUGAGAAAUGGUUUACUUGAGGGUUAGCGGGUCAGACAGAGAGGGGAGGAACGAUCCAGAGAGAGACUGUCAGUGUGGAGGGUGAGCUGUGGCUGUUUGCUGAUUGGGGAAUCAGGUGCACUGACUGUACGCUGUAGCUGUUAGCAAGGAUGCUAAUGGUUCUCCUCUGGAAGAUCAACUCACAGUUGACCUCUGCUUUAGAAAACAAAUAGGUGACCUAGGUAACUGACUUUUACUUUGUUUUAGCAAAAUCAAUAUACAUUAGAUUUUUUUCGAAUCCCAUAUGUAUAAUUGAUUUAUGUAUCAUUGUUUCUUAUUCGUCUAAAUGAUCUGUCAGUAUUUUAACUGUUUUAUUUAUUCUAUCUAUUCAAUUUAUUUUUGUUUAUAAAUUGUAUUUUUUCAACCUUUAAAUUUUGCUUAUUUAUUUUUCUGAUGACCUUUUAGCGAGUAACCCAUCUUUGAAUUUAUUCUUAACUAAUUUUAUUUAUUUGCAAUAUUUUAUAAUUGUUUUAACUCAAUUUAAAUUUUAUUGUUCAUCCAGUUUAUUUAUUUCUAUUUCUUAUAAUUUUCAAUUACUCUUCAGAGAUUUAAAUUAAUUUUGAUAAUAUUAAACUUGUUUUAUUUUUUCUGAAUUCUCUACAAGUUCUUUAACUCAGUUGUGUUGAUAUUUUUUAAAAUUCAUUUUAGUUAUUUGUAUAAAUUUUAUUUUUCUUAAUUAUCUUUAAAUGUGUUAACUUUAACUUUUUUUCAAUUAAUUCCAUUUUAUAUUUUCUAAAUUUAAAUUGUAUCUUAUUUUUCCGAGUCUUUUUACCCCUGUUAUUUUUUUAUGGAUAGUCAUUUAAUUUAUUGGAUAUAUUUAUUUUAUUUUUCUGAAUUGUAGUUUUGUGUUUUAGCUCAUUUUGAAUAUUCAUAAUUAACAUAUUAUUUUAUUUUAUUUUUCUGAUAGAGAGUUUAGUUUUUUAACUCAAUUUUAUUUAUUUAUUAAAUGACUUCUCAGAUAUUAAUCCUAUUUUGUUUUUAUCAUCUUACUAUAGAUUGAAGAGGCCACCCUCGGCCACCCUCUGGUUCCGCCUCUGUAAUCUUCAUGAUAACCAGCUCAUGUUGGAUGUGUGGUGCUCUACAUGUCAGGACCUAAAAUAUCGAUACAGCCUUUAAGGGAUCAAUUCAAUUCAGUAUUCUGGCAUUAAAUGUUUUAAUUUUUCACUGUAUUGAUUUUUUCUGACAUCUCUAAUUUGAAUAUAUGAAGAAAAGUCUGUUCAAACCAGAGGACUUGAACUUUUCUGAUCUGUCAUUUAUUCUCUGUGUCUGCUGACUUUCUCUCUGAAGUCUGCACAUUUUUCCCAUGAUCCAUAACUCAGUCAUCUUCAUGGGAUAUUCAGGGCCUCUGGGAGCUGCUUGCAUGGCAGUAAUUCAAUGCACAAUCCAUAUGUGUGUGUCAGCCCGAGCCUCAUGCAGUCACUCUCCCUCCCUUUUCACCAGGACGCUCCAGCUUCACCUCGGGUGCUUGAUCCUGAGCAGGAUGUGAUGUCACAGUCUCACAUCAGCGGUAAAGCGAAGGCUGCUGAGGACGUUGAUUCAUCUCAUCUCAGCAGAGAGAUUCCUGCCAUGUCUGCUGCCGCUCCAUCUCUCACGUCUUUCAUCCUCCGUCUCGUCCUCCGCCGUGACAGUGAUUAAUGACCCUCAGCUGCUGUGUGCUUCCUCGCUGACACUCCCAUCUUUCUUCUCCUCCUGUUUGCGCUCUGUCUCACAAGAAGAAGGAUUAAAGUGAGUCUUGCCAAAAGAAAAGCGAUUGAUGCCACAUGUUUUUAGUGGGAGGGAAAUCUGAUAGUGGUCAACAUGCAGAGAGAAAGAAAUAAAGACUAUUCUCACAGGUAUAAAUACGAUUUUAUACCUCUAGUCUGAGCUGGGGAUCAACAGGUCUGUCUGAGCAAUGCUUCACCUCAUCCUGGUGCUAUAUAUUGUACAAUAUCAGGGGUCAGAGGUCAUCAGAGGAGACAGAGAAGUAGUCCAAAAACAUCACUAGAGAAGGAAUGACUCACUCAGUUGGCCAAUGCUAAGAAAUCUGGAUAUGUUUUCUAGUCUAGAUUUGUUUUUGUUCUGUUUUGACCAUUUGCAGUCAUGUGUCUGGUAUGAAUAUGCUCACUAUAAUAGACAUCAGAAGUAUCAGUGUUUAUAUGAAAGGCAACUAGGGUUGACAGUUGCAUUCAAGGUGCAUUUAAGAGCUAUUAAAGUGUGUCCCGUUAGCCUGCUUAACACAAAUUAGGGUGGGUAUUUCCAACAGUCUUGUGAUACGAUACAGAAACCUUGAUUCAAAAUGUAACAGGACAGUGUCCACAAUUUAAUA